RNAcentral lists this ribosomal RNA (253 nucleotides) under uncultured bacterium. RNAcentral's name for it is "partial 16S ribosomal RNA". It matches the Rfam family "Bacterial small subunit ribosomal RNA", at positions 524 to 776 of the family's 1533-position model. The record is from RNAcentral.
UACGUAGGGUGCAAGCGUUGUCCGGAAUUAUUGGGCGUAAAGAGCUCGUAGGCGGCUCGUGAAGUCGGGUGUGAAAGCCCGGGGCUCAACCCCGGAACGGCAUCCGAUACUGGCGGGCUUGAGACCGGGAGAGGAGGGUGGAAUACCCAGUGUAGAGGUGAAAUUCGUAGAUAUUGGGUGGAACACCGGUGGCGAAAGCGGCUCUCUGGCCCGGAUCUGACGCUGAGGCGCGAAAGCGUGGGGAGCAAACAGG